GCCAUGCGUCAAGAAAAGCCGCUAUUGUUUGUAUCGCGCCCGUACCGUAAACCGCCACAGGUGGAUGAGGAGAGAAUCCUAAGGCCGACGGGAGAAGCAUUGUUAAGGAACUCGGCAAAAUGACUCCGUAACUUCGGGAGAAGGAGUGCCACUGAGAGGUGGCCGCAGAGAAUUGGCCCAAGCAACUGUUUAGCAAAAACACAGGUCUAUGCAAAACCGAAAGGUGAAGUAUAUGGGCUGACGCCUGCCCGGUGCUGGAAGGUUAAGGGGAGAGGUUAGCGGAAACGCGAAGCUUUGAACUUAAGCCCCAGUAAACGGCGGCCGUAACUAUAACGGUCCUAAGGUAGCGAAAUUCCUUGUCGGGUAAGUUCCGACCCGCACGAAAGGCGUAAUGAUUUGGGCACUGUCUCAACAAUGCACCCGGUGAAAUUGAAAUACCAGUGAAGAUGCUGGUUACCUGCGCCAGGACGGAAAGACCCCAUGGAGCUUUACUCCAGCUUGAUACUGGGAUUCGGUAUUGCAUGUACAGGAUAGGUGGGAGGCUUUGAAGCGGUAACGCCAGUUGCCGUGGAGCUGUUGUUGGGAUACCACCCUUGCAGUACUGGGUUUCUAACCAGCGGCCUUUAUCAGGUCGGGGGACAAUGUCAGGUGGGGAGUUUGACUGGGGCGGUCGCCUCCGAAAGGGUAUCGGAGGCGCUCAAAGGUUCCCUCAGAAUGGUCGGAAACCAUUCGAAGAGUGCAAAGGCAGAAGGGAGCUUGACUGCGACACCGACGGGUGGAGCAGGUACGAAAGUAGGACUUAGUGAUCCGGUGGUAUAAAGUGGGAUUGCCAUCGCUCAACGGAUAAAAGCUACCCUGGGGAUAACAGGCUUAUCACUCCCAAGAGUUCACAUCGACGGAGUGGUUUGGCACCUCGAUGUCGGCUCAUCGCAUCCUGGGGCUGAAGUAGGUCCCAAGGGUUGGGCUGUUCGCCCAUUAAAGCGGUACGCGAGCUGGGUUCAGAACGUCGUGAGACAGU
Molecule: ribosomal RNA, 1018 nt
Filed under: human gut metagenome
Description: bacterial LSU rRNA
Rfam family: Bacterial large subunit ribosomal RNA
Source: RNAcentral